RNAcentral lists this ribosomal RNA (305 nucleotides) under uncultured bacterium. Its description in RNAcentral is "bacterial SSU rRNA". It matches the Rfam family "Bacterial small subunit ribosomal RNA", at positions 337 to 639 of the family's 1533-position model. The record is from RNAcentral.
GCCUACGGGGGGCAGCAGUGAGGAAUAUUGGUCAAUGGGCGAGAGCCUGAACCAGCCAAGUCGCGUGAGGGAAGACGGUCCUAUGGAUUGUAAACCUCUUUUGUCGGGGAGCAAAAAGACUACGUGUAGUCCCAAGCGAGAGUACCCGAAGAAAAAGCAUCGGCUAACUCCGUGCCAGCAGCCGCGGUAAUACGGAGGAUGCGAGCGUUAUCCGGAUUUAUUGGGUUUAAAGGGUGCGUAGGCUGAAUGUCAAGUCAGCGGUAAAAAUUCCGGGCUCAACCCGGUCGUGCCGUUGAAACUGGCGU